This is a long non-coding RNA of Cyprinus carpio carpio, 1635 nucleotides long. The record is from Ensembl. NCBI's taxonomy places the organism in Eukaryota, Metazoa, Chordata, Actinopteri, Cypriniformes, Cyprinidae.
AUGAACUCAGUUGUCUCUUUUAAAUCGUUCAACACCCAAAAAAGAUAAUAUGAAGUUACGUCAAACGACUUUGAAUUAAUUUCAAGCUUAAAGAUGAGCUAGCCAAUCGAUGCACAUCACUGUACACAGAGCACUUAUAAAUCCACAAGGAUUUUCAAAUGGGUCUAUAACUUAAGAUGCUUUGGAACAUUUCACGACACCAUUGGAUCAGAACGUUUAAGACAUUCUUCGUGCGAGAUUAAGAACCUUCCAUUUUCCCAUUCAGUGUUAUAAAAUGUAAUUAACCAGACUGAAAAAAAAAUGUUAGUAGUUUGACAGAAGACUAUAUAGUGCUAGAAUUAAAAAAAACUGUUAGUUUUUUAUUAGUUGCCUGUAAGUUUUUUUUUUUUAAUUAGUUGCCUGUAAAUUAGCUUUAUAUGGUGAAAACCGAUAUAAUUUAACCAGACAAUCCAUGUACUUUUAAGGGUUGUUGCAAUACGAUUCACCUGUUGGGGGUGCUCCAGGACCAGUAUUGGGAAACACAGUUGCAGCAGAAGUGGGAUCUUCUGUGGUCUUCUACUGUACAUCAAACACGAAAAUACCACGUAUUGUACACGAAAAGUGAACAGCAGAGGGAGCUACUUUCCCAUCAUUGUCUCAUCCUGAGGACGUUAAAUGGAAACCCUAAGACUGCAAUGGAAAGUUUCCCGAUGCGACAAUGAAGAGGUUCAAUAAAGUAGAAACUUAGGCAUAGUCUUUUGGUGAAGAAUGUCAAAAUUACACCGCCAUGCCUCUGCAACCAAAUUCAGAAACACAAUUGGUUUGUUCGUGAUGAUCGGUACAAACGUAAAAAGAAGUUGGAAAUUAAAGUAAAUAAAUAAUAAUAAAAAACCCAUAUAUAAAUAAAUAAUACAUUUUAAAUGACUGUGGGAUAGGCCUACAGCAUUUUCAGUAGCUGAAUUAAACAGUUGUCCGUGUACAAUAGGCUAUAUGAAAUAUAGAAUGAAAACAUUCGUGUUCAUUUUUGAUGUAAAAAAAAAAAUAAAAAUAGGGUGAACUAGGUUGGAAUGUAAUCUUUAAUGCUAAUCAAGUACAGGUGGAGAAACUAAAAGCUGUCGAUGUGAUCGAUGCUUAAAACCAUCGUAAAUAUUGUUGGUUUUGUCCCUCUAAAUCCUGAACUGGCCCCAAAACACCCAUCGUUAAUCUCCAAAAGUCCUCAUUACGGUCGGAUUUAAGUUACAGGAGCAGCCAACCUUUCAGAGGUGUUAACUUGCAAAGCAGUUUAACAGUGUCAAUUCCAUUCGGUAGAUAAAAGUUAUGGUUAUCAGUUGAUCCUUUUAAACUGUAAAUAAUAACUUUUAAUUGGGUAAUGUAAUCCAGACAUUUGUAUACAAAUGACAAAAUUAAUAAUUUAUGCAACAACGUAGGCUACUCUUAUAAACGUAACUUAAACUUUUUGGAAUCUUAUAGCAAAUCGAUUUUUACUCAGUAACAACGUAGAUAAUUGACUGGUUUAUUGUAGUUUAUUUUUUAAAUUAUUAUUAUUGUUAUUUUGUUUCCAUUAACUGCCACAUUAACGCGACCAGUUUUAUUUAAGACGCGUACAAACUGCAGUGUUAUAGAUGCUUGUGACAUGCUGUCACUGACAGAGCAGAG